GGUUUUUUGGGGCACCUUGUACAGUACAUUCCAAAGCAUUAAAUUCCUUUCUAUUGUGUUUAUGCACCCUUGGGAUCAAUUAGUGCUGAAUCAUGCAAAUUCUAAAAAUAUAUCUGAUUUUAACGGUUGCAGUUUUUUUUAGACACCCCACAUAUGUUAGGUAUAUAACUAGUAUACUUAUCAGUAGUAUAAAUGCUGACUUGCUCCUUAAUUUGACGAUAUAUAAAAAACGGCCUCAUCUUUCCAUAUUAACAACGCACUCCAGUUUAAAUACAAUCUCGUGAGCUCCUAACCCAUCGUAACUGACAGUAAGCCCAACACUGACUUAAUCGUUGUG
Non-coding RNA from Paramuricea clavata, 337 nucleotides. The record is from the annotation of a GenBank genome assembly. NCBI's taxonomy places the organism in Eukaryota, Metazoa, Cnidaria, Anthozoa, Malacalcyonacea, Plexauridae.